Non-coding RNA from Podarcis lilfordi (Lilford's wall lizard), 73 nucleotides. NCBI's taxonomy places the organism in Eukaryota, Metazoa, Chordata, Lepidosauria, Squamata, Lacertidae. The record is from the annotation of a GenBank genome assembly.
GCUAGAAUAGAUCAGUUGGUAGAGCAUGAGUCUCUUAAUCUCAGGAUUAUGGGUUCCAGCUUCACCUUUAACA